This 465-nucleotide ribosomal RNA is filed under the name uncultured bacterium. Its description in RNAcentral is "bacterial SSU rRNA". It matches the Rfam family "Bacterial small subunit ribosomal RNA", at positions 926 to 1391 of the family's 1533-position model. The record is from RNAcentral.
CAAGCGGUGGAUGAUGUGGAUUAAUUCGAUGCAACGCGAAAAACCUUACCUACCCUUGACAUGGUCGGAAUCCCGCUGAGAGGUGGGAGUGCUCGAAAGAGAACCGAUACACAGGUGCUGCAUGGCUGUCGUCAGCUCGUGUCGUGAGAUGUUGGGUUAAGUCCCGCAACGAGCGCAACCCUUGUCCUUAGUUGCUACCCGCAAGGGAGCACUCUAAGGAGACUGCCGGUGACAAACCGGAGGAAGGUGGGGAUGACGUCAAGUCCUCAUGGCCCUUAUGGGUAGGGCUUCACACGUCAUACAAUGGUCGGUACAGAGGGUCGCCAACCCGCGAGGGGGAGCUAAUCCCAGAAAACCGAUCGUAGUCCGGAUUGCAGUCUGCAACUCGACUGCAUGAAGCUGGAAUCGCUAGUAAUCGCGGAUCAGCAUGUCGCGGUGAAUACGUUCCCGGGUCUUGUACACACC